This 200-nucleotide ribosomal RNA is filed under the name uncultured bacterium. RNAcentral describes it as "partial 16S ribosomal RNA". It matches the Rfam family "Bacterial small subunit ribosomal RNA", at positions 1294 to 1500 of the family's 1533-position model. The record is from RNAcentral.
CGGAUCGCAGUCUGCAACUCGACUGCGUGAAGCUGGAAUCGCUAGUAAUCGCGCAUCAGCCAUGGCGCGGUGAAUACGUUCCCGGGCCUUGUACACACCGCCCGUCAAGCCAUGGAAGUCUGGGGGGACCUGAAGACGGUAACCGCAAGGAGCCGUUAAGGGUAAAACAGGUAACUAGGGCUAAGUCGUAACAAGGUACC